Etheostoma spectabile (orangethroat darter) is the source of this 2584-nucleotide non-coding RNA. NCBI's taxonomy places the organism in Eukaryota, Metazoa, Chordata, Actinopteri, Perciformes, Percidae. The record is from the annotation of a RefSeq genome assembly.
AUGUUUUGUGGAUCCAUCAAUGGAACUCCUCCUGCCCCCAGUGAAGAAUCAGGACCACAGAGACUCUUGUGCUCUGCAUGGGGCUUCAACCCUCAAAUUAAAUGGCUUCUGAGUCUCAGCAAGAUCUUCAUCAACUUGACAUCAGCAUGGGUGCAGAUGGACGUUGUCAGUAACCAGUCAACUUCAUAUCCCUCACACAGAGUGGAGCACAGGGAAGGUGUUCACUUGUGAUGUAACUGACAAGUCUCUGAAAAGAAAUGUGAAAAAGGAGAUCAGCCUCUGCUCAGUUUAUUCACGUGCCCCUCCAUUCAUCCACGUGGAGAUUCCCAGCUUUAAGACAGUAAUGAUGACAGAAUCCACAAAAUCUGUGAAAGCAACAUGUUUGGUCCGCACUGUUCUUGAUGCCAAGGUGACCUGGCAGAUGGAUGGGAGAGCCGCAUCUGGUAAAACAGUGAUCCAGGACAAAAACACAACUCAUAUAGUCAGUGAUGUGACAGUUUCAUUAAGUCAAUGGAAACAACUCAAGUCUAUAACAUGUAAAGCUGAACAUAAGUGCUUCUUAUCCACUGAGAGGACUGUGAGUGUAGAAGGGCCUGCAGCUACAGCCCCAUUGGUUGAGAUUAGAAGAUCGCUCAAAGAUUUGCUGAAGGGGGACAGCGCAGUGCUGGAGUGUGAUGUCACACAACUCUCAUCACAUGACCUGUACAUCACCUUUCAGACCAACAGGGUUGACAUCUCUGACAAACAGUACGUUGAUCUUCCUGAAGGCCCAGGCCUCCAUUCCAUCAGUAGAAGCUUCUCUAUUCCUACAAGUUACUGGAAGGAAGACACAAGUUUUAGCUGCACAGUGAACCAAGGCUUCUCCGGCAACUACAAGUCAACCUCCACUGGCAAUGUUUUUGUGGAUCCAUCAAUGGAACUCCUCCUGGCCCCCAGUGAAGAAUCAGGACCACAGAGACUCUUGUGCUCUGCAUGGGGCUUCAACCCUCAAAUUAAAUGGUCUUCUGAGUCUCAGCAAAGAUCUUCAUCAACUUAUGACAUCAGCAUGGGUGCAGAUGGACGUGUGGCAGUAACCAGUCAACUUCUUAUCCCUCACACAGAGUGGAGCACAGGGAAGGUGUUCACUUGUGAAGUAACUGACAAGUCUCUGAAAAGAAAUGUGAAAAAGGAGAUCAGCCUCUGUUCAGUAACUCCAGCAUCAUCUCAGAUACUUGGCAUAUAUGUUCAGGGACCACCACUCCAGGAGCUUCAGAACAAGGGUCCGGUGACUAUCACCUGUCUUCUGGUUGGCCUUUCUCUUAAUGAUUUCUCUGUCACCUGGAAAGUAGGUGGGAACAAGUAUUCCCUCAAUGUCCCUAAGGAGCCACCAGUGAGUCACAGCAAUGGGACGGAGACUUUGCAGAGCUCCCUCAAUGUGUCAGCAGAAGAUUGGCAUGCAUACAAACAAGUGUCUUGCGAGGCAAAGCAUCGAUGUUCCAACCAGAGUUACGAGGACCAUAUUAGCAAAAGCAGAGACCUGUAUCCACCAGCAGUGACGAUAGUGGAAUCAACUGCCUCUGACCAGUUUACUUCAGACGUCCUCGCACUUAUUUGCCUGGUCUCUGGAUUUUUCCCAUCUAACAUCAUAGUGUAUUGGGAACAGAAUGGCCAGAGAAUCCCUGAAGCUCGCUACACCAACAGUCCUACUUGGAAAUACACAGGGAGCAGCACUUACUCAAUGAGCAGCAGACUAAACACAUCCAAAACAGAGGACAACGAGUCUACAUAUUCUUGUGUUGUCAGACAUGAGACAUCUGAAAUACCUUUUAAAAGCACUAUAAAGGAUGUGUUUGCCACAGUUACCCACAGCAAACCUUCAGCCACCUUGCUCCAGGGCUCUGAUGAAAUUGUGUGCCUGGUCUCUAAGUUCAGCCCUGCUUCCAUUAACAUCACUUGGUUACUUGAUGGCAAGGAACUGUGGGACUACAACACUAGUGAACCCCACAGAGGCCCAAAGGGAAGGUUCAGCAUCCAAAGCCACCUUCGUCUGUCCCAAGUCAUCUGGUUACGUGGUGCAAUCCUCACCUGCAGGGUGACACACGUAAACACCACCCUAUCUCUGGAUAUAUCUAAACCAGACAUCUUGGAGGACUGUAAUUUCUUAGAUGACAUCAUGCAUGCAGAAGUAAACCAUGACACAGAUGUGCAAAGCUGGUUUAUGGCUUUCACUUUUCUCGUUUUUUUCCUCAUCUCCAUUAUCUAUGGUGUCUUGGCUACCUUAAUUAAGACUAAGUGAUAAUGAUCAAAGUGCAGAUCCCAUUUAAGGAACCACAUGUGGACUUUGGAGAUGACCUUUUCUAAUUUUAAAGUGUAAUGAUUUGAUUUCUGUUACUUCUUUCUUUUAUUAUUUUAUGAAACCGGUUUGUACUUUAUUCAUUUAUUUGUUAUGUUGCAUGUAUGUAGUGCAUGUGUGUCAGAGGAAAUGAGACAACAAUUAAUAAAUUAAUACAUGAAGCUUUAAAUUCUGACUUUCAGAUUAAAAUACCAAUGUAAUGAACACAUAUUAUAUCACUGGACUCAUUCUUGCAUUUGCAAAAAUAAAAAU